UAAGGAAUAUUGGUCAAUGGACGCAAGUCUGAACCAGCCAUGCCGCGUGAAGGAUGAAGGUCCUCUGAAUUGUAAACUUCUUUUAUCUGGGACGAAAACGGGAUUUUUAUCUCAAUUGACGGUACCAGAGGAAUAAGCACCGGCUAACUCCGUGCCAGCAGCCGCGGUAAUACGGAGGGUGCGAGCGUUAUCCGGAUUUACUGGGUUUAAAGGGUGCGUAGGUGGGCUUAUAAGUCAGUGGUGAAAUCUCCGAGCUUAACUUGGAAACUGCCGUUGAUACUAUAGGUCUUGAAUUAUCUGGAGUUAAGCGGAAUAUGUCCUGUAGCGGUGAAAUGCUUAGAUAUGACAUAGAACACCAAUUGCGAAGGCAGCUUACUACAUAUAAAUUGACGCUGAGGCACGAAAGCGUGGGGAUCAAACA
RNAcentral lists this ribosomal RNA (421 nucleotides) under uncultured bacterium. Its description in RNAcentral is "bacterial SSU rRNA". It matches the Rfam family "Bacterial small subunit ribosomal RNA", at positions 355 to 774 of the family's 1533-position model. The record is from RNAcentral.